This 443-nucleotide ribosomal RNA is filed under the name uncultured bacterium. RNAcentral's name for it is "partial 16S ribosomal RNA". It matches the Rfam family "Bacterial small subunit ribosomal RNA", at positions 338 to 795 of the family's 1533-position model. The record is from RNAcentral.
CCUACGGGAGGCUGCAGUGGGGAAUAUUGGGCAAUGGGCGCAAGCCUGACCCAGCAACGCCGCGUGAAGGAAGAAGGUUUUCGGGUUGUAAACUUCUUUUCUGAGGGACGAAGAAAGUGACGGUACCUCAGGAAUAAGCCACGGCUAACUACGUGCCAGCAGCCGCGGUAAUACGUAGGUGGCAAGCUUUAUCCGGAUUUAUGGGGUGUAAAGGGCGUGUAGGCGGGAAAGCAAGUCAGAUGUGAAAACUCAGGGCUCAACCCUGGGCCUGCAUUUGAAACUGUUUGUCUUGAGUGCUGGAGAGGCAAGCGGAAUGCCGGGUGUAGCGGUGAAAUGCGUAGAUAUACGGAGGAACACCAGUGGCGAAGGCAGCCUGCUGGACGAAAACUGACGGUGAGGCGCGAAAGCGUGGGGAGCAAACAGGAUUAGAUACCCUAGUAGUC